RNAcentral lists this ribosomal RNA (484 nucleotides) under uncultured bacterium. Its description in RNAcentral is "partial 16S ribosomal RNA". It matches the Rfam family "Bacterial small subunit ribosomal RNA", at positions 28 to 507 of the family's 1533-position model. The record is from RNAcentral.
GAUGAACGCUGGCGGCGUGCUUAACACAUGCGAGUCGAACGGAAAGGCGGACUUCGGGCUGCUCGCGUGUGGCGAGCGGGCGAGUAACGUACAUGAACUUCCCCUGCCUCGGGGGAUAACUAAGCAAACGGGGACCAAAGCCGGCAAAGGAUCUUUGGUGGAAAGGGGGGGAUGGAAAGAUCCUGCAGGUUUGGAUGGACCCGCACCGGAUAAGCUAGUUGGUGGGGUAACGGCUUACCAAGGCGACGAUGGGUAGCCGGCGUGAGAGGGCGACCGGCCACACUGCGACUGACACACGGCCCUGACUCCUACGGGAGGCAGCGGCUGGGACUGUUGGCCGAUGGGGGGAAGCCUGAACCAGCCGCGGCGGCUGUGUGAUGAAGGCCUUCGGGUUGUAUAACGCUCUUGGGAGUGAAGAACCCUUGCGGCAUGAUCGCCGCUUGUGGUGACGGUACCUGCAGAAUAAGCACCGGCUAACUACGUG